UUGAACGCUGGCGGUAGGCCUAACACAUGCAAGUCGAACGGUAACAGGAAGCAGCUUGCUGCUUUGCUGACGAGUGGCGGACGGGUGAGUAAUGUCUGGGAAACUGCCCGAUGGAGGGGGAUAACUACUGGAAACGGUAGCUAAUACCGCAUAACGUCGCAAGACCAAAGAGGGGGACCUUAGGGCCUCUUGCCAUCGGAUGUGCCCAGAUGGGAUUAGCUAGUAGGCGGGGUAACGGCUCACCUAGGCGACGAUCCCUAGCUGGUCUGAGAGGAUGACCAGCCACACUGGAACUGAGACACGGUCCAGACUCCUACGGGAGGCAGCAGUGGGGAAUAUUGCACAAUGGGCGCAAGCCUGAUGCAGCCAUGCCGCGUGUAUGAAGAAGGCCUUCGGGUUGUAAAGUACUUUCAGCGGGGAGGAAGGGAGUAAAGUUAAUACCUUUGCUCAUUGACGUUACCCGCAGAAGAAGCACCGGCUAACUCCGUG
RNAcentral lists this ribosomal RNA (489 nucleotides) under uncultured bacterium. Its description in RNAcentral is "partial 16S ribosomal RNA". It matches the Rfam family "Bacterial small subunit ribosomal RNA", at positions 30 to 507 of the family's 1533-position model. The record is from RNAcentral.